GCCCUUAGAGUUUGAUCCUGGCUCAGGAUGAACGCUAGCUACAGGCUUAACACAUGCAAGUCGAGGGGAAACGACAUCGAAAGCUUGCUUUUGAUGGGCGUCGACCGGCGCACGGGUGAGUAACGCGUAUCCAACCUGCCCACCACUUGGGGAUAACCUUGCGAAAGUAAGACUAAUACCCAAUGAUAUCUCUAGAAGACAUCUGAAAGAGAUUAAAGAUUUAUCGGUGAUGGAUGGGGAUGCGUCUGAUUAGCUUGUUGGCGGGGUAACGGCCCACCAAGGCGACGAUCAGUAGGGGUUCUGAGAGGAAGGUCCCCCACAUUGGAACUGAGACACGGUCCAAACUCCUACGGGAGGCAGCAGUGAGGAAUAUUGGUCAAUGGACGAGAGUCUGAACCAGCCAAGUAGCGUGCAGGAUGACGGCCCUAUGGGUUGUAAACUGCUUUUAUAAGGGAAUAAAGUGAGUCUCGUGAGACUUUUUGCAUGUACCUUAUGAAUAAGGACCGGCUAAUUCCGUGCCAGCAGCCGCGGUAAUACGGAAGGUCCGGGCGUUAUCCGGAUUUAUUGGGUUUAAAGGGAGCGUAGGCCGGAGAUUAAGCGUGUUGUGAAAUGUAGACGCUCAACGUCUGCACUGCAGCGCGAACUGGUUUCCUUGAGUACGCACAAAGUGGGCGGAAUUCGUGGUGUAGCGGUGAAAUGCUUAGAUAUCACGAAGAACUCCGAUUGCGAAGGCAGCUCACUGGAGCGCAACUGACGCUGAAGCUCGAAAGUGCGGGUAUCGAACAGGAUUAGAUACCCUGGUAGUCCGCACGGUAAACGAUGGAUGCCCGCUGUUGGUCUGAAUAGGUCAGCGGCCAAGCGAAAGCAUUAAGCAUCCCACCUGGGGAGUACGCCGGCAACGGUGAA
This 906-nucleotide ribosomal RNA is filed under the name uncultured bacterium. RNAcentral's name for it is "bacterial SSU rRNA". It matches the Rfam family "Bacterial small subunit ribosomal RNA", at positions 1 to 898 of the family's 1533-position model. The record is from RNAcentral.